RNAcentral lists this ribosomal RNA (253 nucleotides) under uncultured prokaryote. Its description in RNAcentral is "partial 16S ribosomal RNA". It matches the Rfam family "Bacterial small subunit ribosomal RNA", at positions 524 to 776 of the family's 1533-position model. The record is from RNAcentral.
UACGUAGGGACCGAGCGUUGUCCGGAAUCAUUGGGCGUAAAGAGCGUGUAGGCGGCCCCUUAAGUCCGGCGUGAAAUCCUGCGGCUCAACCGCAGACGGUCGUGGGAAACUGGAGGGCUAGAGUGCGGGAGAGGAGAGUGGAAUUCCCAGUGUAGAGGUGAAAUUCGUAGAUAUUGGGAAGAACACCGGUGGCGAAGGCGGCUCACUGGCCCGUUUCUGACGCUCAGGCGCGACAGCGUGGGGAUCAAACAGG